AAAUUUAUGGGCAUCAAAAGGAUAGUA
RNAcentral lists this non-coding RNA (27 nucleotides) under Rattus norvegicus (Norway rat). Lineage: Eukaryota; Metazoa; Chordata; Mammalia; Rodentia; Muridae. The record is from RNAcentral.